This 67-nucleotide transfer RNA is filed under the name Marmota marmota marmota (Alpine marmot). It matches the Rfam family "tRNA". From Rfam's summary of the family: Transfer RNA (tRNA) molecules are approximately 80 nucleotides in length. Their secondary structure includes four short double-helical elements and three loops (D, anti-codon, and T loops). The record is from Rfam by way of RNAcentral. Lineage: Eukaryota; Metazoa; Chordata; Mammalia; Rodentia; Sciuridae. RNAcentral also lists the same sequence under 1 other name.
GGUUGUAGCUCAGUGGUAGAGCGCUUGUCUCACAUGUGUGAGACCUUGGGUUCAACCCCCAGCACCA